UCCGUGCUUUGUGUCUACCCUUAUGAGAA
Molecule: non-coding RNA, 29 nt
Filed under: Mus musculus (house mouse)
Lineage: Eukaryota; Metazoa; Chordata; Mammalia; Rodentia; Muridae
Source: RNAcentral